GACGAACGCUGGCGGCGUGCUUAACACAUGCAAGUCGAACGGAAAGGCCCUGCUUUUGUGGGGUGCUCGAGUGGCGAACGGGUGAGUAACACGUGUGUAACCUGCCCUUGACUUUGGGAUAACUUCAGGAAACUGGGGCUACUACCGGAUAGGAGCUCCUGCUGCAUGGUGGGGGUUGGAAAGUUUCGGCGGUUGGGGAUGGACUCGCGGCUUAUCAGCUUGUUGGUGGGGUAGUGGCUUACCAAGGCUGUGACGGGUAGCCGGCCUGAGAGGGUGACCGGCCACAUUGGGACUGAGAUACGGCCCAGACUCCAACGGGAGGCAGCAGUGGGGAAUAUUGCACAAUGGGCGGAAGCCUGAUGCAGCAACGCCGCGUGCGGGAUGACGGCCUUCGGGUUGUAAACCGCUUUCGCCUGUGACGAAGCGGGAGUGACGGUAAUGGGUAAAGAAGCACCGGCUAACUACGUG
RNAcentral lists this ribosomal RNA (468 nucleotides) under uncultured bacterium. Its description in RNAcentral is "partial 16S ribosomal RNA". It matches the Rfam family "Bacterial small subunit ribosomal RNA", at positions 28 to 507 of the family's 1533-position model. The record is from RNAcentral.